RNAcentral lists this long non-coding RNA (1208 nucleotides) under Homo sapiens (human). Its description in RNAcentral is "HSALNT0097857". The record is from RNAcentral. Lineage: Eukaryota; Metazoa; Chordata; Mammalia; Primates; Hominidae.
GGAAAGGGACGCCAGAGGCUGCAAGUCCAAAGCAAAUUAGCUACGAUUUGCAAAAUUCCAAGGAGAGGAUGCGGUGGAGGUGGGGGAGGGGGAGUGUUAGAGGUAUUAUAAUGAAAUAAUGGUCAGGUUUAAUUGCUUAUCUCAACAAAACUAUGAAAUCAGAGCAGCAGGUGACAUGAAGGAGGCAACUACCAAAAAUGCCAUGUCUAUAUGCAGAAAUGCCAGCGUGAAUGUCCUCCACAAUGUUAGCAAUGGUCAGGUUGGGGAUGGGCUGUUGCGGGUGAUUUCUUUACAUGGUAUUUGCUUAUAGUGCUUGGAUUUUUUUUCUUUCUUUUUUUUUUUUUUUGCCAAUGUAUUUAAAUUUUCACAAAAACAAAAGCCUUUUUAAAAGCAAAAAGAUAGGUCAGGAGUUCGAGACCAGCCUGGCCAACAUGGUGAAACCCCCAUCUCUACUAAAAAUACAAAAAUUAGCCGGGCAUGGUGACGCGCACCCGUAAUCCCAGCUACUUAGGAAGCUGAGGCAGGAGAAUGGCUUGAACCUGGCAGGCGGAGGUUGCAGUGAGCCGAGCUCACACCAGUACACUCCAGCCUGGGUGACAGAGUGAGACUCCGUCUAAAAAAAAAAAAAAAAAAAAGCCAUGAGACGGGCAAGUGAAAGUCUGAAACAGAUGUAGAUUCCAAUUCUCCUAUUUCUGCCACUUAGCCAUGCUGGGUCUCAGCAUCUCAUUUGCAAAAGGCCUUGCUGAGUUUCUCUAGGGGCAGGUAGCACACACCUGCCUUAUGUCAUGUGUUUGGAAAAACUUUUGUCUCCUCAUAACUCCAGCACAGCUCAGAGAUGGGAAGGCGACUUUUUAUAUUAACCUGAGGAGGGUAUUAAAUGAAGAAGGCAAUCCAGACAAGUGGCUAUUUCCUCCUAGCUUUGGCUCUGGGGACACCUUGGCAUCCUGGGUGACAUGGUAGGUUACAGAGCCGCUAAAAUGGGCAUGGGCAGACACACUGAUCCAAUACUAAGAGUUCAGCUGUAGCGUCCGGUGUUUCAUGAUACUCACUUGUCUUCCUCCCUUGCAACCCAGCCAUUUCAUGGGACCAACGGGCCACCACAGGGCAUGGGAUCAGAUCUCAACACAUUCUGCAGGCCCUUGUCGAAAUUCUUCCCUAGUUCACUAGUGGGAGAGGGAUUGGGUGUGGUUGCCAAAGAAAUAAAAGCG